RNAcentral lists this ribosomal RNA (451 nucleotides) under uncultured bacterium. RNAcentral describes it as "bacterial SSU rRNA". It matches the Rfam family "Bacterial small subunit ribosomal RNA", at positions 354 to 796 of the family's 1533-position model. The record is from RNAcentral.
GUGGGGAAUUGUUCGCAAUGGGCGCAAGCCUGACGACGCAACGCCGCGUGGAGGAUGAAGAUCUUCGGGUCGUAAACUCCUGUCGAGCGGGACGAAUGGCCUGCGGGUAAAUAAUCCGCAGGAGUGACGGUACCGCGAGAGGAAGCCCCGGCUAACUCCGUGCCAGCAGCCGCGGUAAUACGGGGGGGGCAAGCGUUGUUCGGAAUUACUGGGCGUAAAGGGCUCGUAGGUGGCCGAUUCAGUCAGACGUGAAAUCCCUCGGCUCAACCGGGGAACUGCGUCUGAUACUAGUUGGCUUGAAUCCGGGAGAGGGACGCGGAAUUCCAGGUGUAGCGGUGAAAUGCGUAGAUAUCUGGAGGAACACCGGUGGCGAAGGCGGCGUCCUGGACCGGUAUUGACACUGAGGAGCGAAAGCCAGGGGAGCAAACGGGAUUAGAAACCCGUGUAGUCC